CAGCCGUAAACUAUGCUCGCUAGGUGUCAGGCAUGGCGCGACCGCGUCUGGUGCCGCAGGGAAGCCGUGAAGCGAGCCACCUGGGAAGUACGGCCGCAAGGCUGAAACUUAAAGGAAUUGGCGGGGGAGCACAACAACGGGUGGAGCCUGCGGUUUAAUUGGACUCAACGCCGGACAACUCACCGGGAACGACAGCAAUAUGUAGGCCAGGCUGAAGACCUUGCCUGAAUCGCUGAGAGGAGGUGCAUGGCGUAGACGUCU
This 261-nucleotide ribosomal RNA is filed under the name uncultured archaeon. RNAcentral describes it as "partial 16S ribosomal RNA". It matches the Rfam family "Archaeal small subunit ribosomal RNA", at positions 748 to 1009 of the family's 1478-position model. The record is from RNAcentral.